Molecule: ribosomal RNA, 723 nt
Filed under: bacterium IMCC7882
Lineage: Bacteria
Description: bacterial SSU rRNA
Rfam family: Bacterial small subunit ribosomal RNA
Source: RNAcentral
AUUGAACGCUGCGGCAGGCCUAACACAUGCAAGUCGAGCGCGAAAACACUUCGGUGUGAGUAGAGCGGCGGACGGGUGAGUAAUGCUUGGGAAUCUGCCCAGUAGUGGGGGAUAACGUGUGGAAACGCACGCUAAUACCGCAUACGUCCUACGGGAGAAAGCAGGGGAUCUUCGGACCUUGCGCUAUUGGAUGAGCCCAAGUCAGAUUAGCUAGUUGGUGAGGUAAUGGCUCACCAAGGCGACGAUCUGUAGCUGGUCUGAGAGGAUGAUCAGCCACACUGGGACUGAGACACGGCCCAGACUCCUACGGGAGGCAGCAGUGGGGAAUAUUGCACAAUGGGCGAAAGCCUGAUGCAGCCAUGCCGCGUGUGUGAAGAAGGCUCUAGGGUUGUAAAGCACUUUCAGUGGGGAGGAAAAGUUUAAGAUUAAUACUCUUGAACCUUGACGUUACCUGCAGAAGAAGCACCGGCAAACUCCGUGCCAGCAGCCGCGGUAAUACGGAGGGUGCGAGCGUUAAUCGGAAUUACUGGGCGUAAAGCGCGCGUAGGUGGUUUGAUAAGCUAGCUGUGAAAGCCCCGGGCUCAACCUGGGAACUGCAGUUAGAACUGUCUGGCUAGAGUAUAGUAGAGGGUGGCGGAAUUUCCUGUGUAGCGGUGAAAUGCGUAGAUAUAGGAAGGAACAUCAGUGGCGAAGGCGGCCACCUGGACUAAUACUGACACUGAG